Molecule: long non-coding RNA, 2355 nt
Organism: Camelus dromedarius (Arabian camel)
Lineage: Eukaryota; Metazoa; Chordata; Mammalia; Artiodactyla; Camelidae
Exons: 3
Source: RefSeq, a predicted model, not a curated record
UGCAACAUUCACUUUAUCACGAUACUCACUUGACUGUGGUGGUCUGGAGCCGAACCUGCAGCACCACCAAGGUAUGCCUGAGUUACCUUACAGGGUGGUCACAAUGAGAAAACGAGAAAACACACGUGUAUCAGUCAGAGUCCAGCAAGGAAAGCAGAAAUCUGAGUAUUUAAAACAGAGGGAAUUUAACUCAGGGAAUUGAUUACAAAGGUGACAAAGAUGCUAAGAAAUCACCUAGGAAUCAAUAAGGAAACCCAGAGUUUAACAAAUACCAGGAAGUUUCAACUACCCCCUAAACUAGGGGAAAAGGAAAGAGGUGGUUUCCUGGAGUCAGGACCCCUGGCAGAAGCUAGAACCAUAGAUCUGUCCAGUGAGGAGUAGGAGCAGAGAAGUAGUGUCGCUGUUGCUAGAGAAGCAAUCUAAAGUAGACAAGGGUUAAAGCCACCCUGGCUUCUCCUUUCUCUCACCCUCCCAUUUCCUAUCAGCAUCUCCUCUUGACAAAACCCACCUAGAAUCGGGGAGCCUGGUUUAAUCGAAGACAUCUUAGGCACUUUCUCACAUUCUCAGCCUCAGCUUCAUACGCCUCUUGGUUCUUAACCACUUGCUUUCACACUAUUGCCCUUGCAGCAAUCAUCUGUAGGUGGGGCUGCAGUUUCCACCGUCUGAAGUCUGCAGCUGAAGAGUCUAGCUCGGAACGCCAUCUGUGGACGCUGGGUGUUCCGGUACAGCCACAUUCUCCAGGGUCAAGUGACCAGUUUCGUUUCUUCAUGGAGCAGUGGCCAGCUCAGUUAUGGGCCGUCUUGUCGUGAAGCACAUGGAGGAGGGACGCAGAGACUGAACAUCUGUAACGGGGGAUGUCCCCAGUGUGGUAACUCCUUUGCGUGCCUAGUGUGGCAAGAUUACUUGAUGGGUUGUUAUAUCAGUGCAAUAGCCCAGAGAUCCUAAGGUAAAGGAGGGCAUAAUAAAGAUGGUCCAAUUAAAUAAAACUUGUAUGUCAAGUAGGAAAGGAACAGUCGGCAGGGGCCAUGACACUAGACAAGAGAUCUCAACUGGUUGAGGAAAAUGAGCGGUAAGAGUAGAAAGUGAUAAAUAUCAAAUGCCCAAACGUGGAUGACCACAUUGUGGUCCAUCUGUACAAGGGAAUGCUGCUCCGUAACACAAAGAAUGAACCGAUACGUGAAAGAACGAGGAUUGAUUUCAAAAACAUACUGAGCAAAAACAAGCCAGAUGCAAAAGAACACAUGAUGUAUGAAGAUCUGUAACAAAACAGACACAACUAAUUCAUGGUCACAGAAAGAACAUCACCGGUUUCCUGGGACAGGGUGGGUGGCGAGAGGGAGAAAGGAGCUUCUGGACGUGAUGGAAAUGUUCUGUCUUGAUCUGACUGAGGGGCGCAUACAUCUGUCUAAAGCCCACUGAUCUCAUGACUUUAAAUGAGUGCAUUUUAUUGCACGAAAGCAUAACUCAAUAUAGUUGAUUUUUGAAACGUCAAGAUCAAGACAGACGAAAUCCUGAAGAAAUUCAGCUUAAAGGAGACUAAAGAGACAUCACAACUAAAUGUACAUAAUUCUGAACAAGAAGGGAACACUGGUAUAAAUGGCGCUCUACAGACAGUUGAGAAAAUUUGAAUACGGGCUAUAGAUGAAAGCACAGUAGGAGCAAUGCUGAAUUUCCUGAUUUUGACAAUUGUACCAUGGUUACACAAGGCAAAGUCCUUGUUCUGGUGAAAUAUUUAGACAAAGGGACAUAAUGUCCUGAAUUUAUCAUCAAAUGAAUUGGCAAGGAGAGAGAGAGAACUGUAAAGUGAAGAUAGAGUAAAACAUAAACAAAUGGUAACUACGAGUUAAGGUUCUACAAAGUUCCUUGUACUAUCACUUCAACUAUUCAGAAGUUUGAAAAUACAGCAGAAUUAGUUUUUUAAUGAGAAGGAAGCAUCUAGCUGGGGAGGGAGGGAAGGUAACUGUUUUUUAGUUAUGAAUUGUGAUCUCUCAAAGCCAGGAGCUAUUGACAUGAUUCAUCCCAUUGAUAAAGAAAAGACCCAGGCUUUUUAUCUGAGUUCUCUAAUCGGUUCUGUGAGUGUCUCGGGGAAAGAGAAAGUAAUUCCUUGAGGCCAUUAAACAGACAGGUAACCGCUCUGCAAAGACAAAAUGACUGUCUCUUCCCCAAGAAGACAGAUGGUAUCUGAUGUUUUAAAUCAUAGACCAAAAGGGCAUUUUCUUCCUCUUUCAGUUCAUCUCUGUUUCCACAGUGGACUAAGUCCUACAGUCAAAAAUAUUAAGUUGUAAGUAACCACAAACUAUUACAAGAAAUAAACAACAGUUUUCAAAAAUGACAAAAUUCCAUUUCACCUUUUCU